Molecule: ribosomal RNA, 1486 nt
Filed under: uncultured prokaryote
Description: partial 16S ribosomal RNA
Rfam family: Bacterial small subunit ribosomal RNA
Source: RNAcentral
CCUUAGAGUUUGAUCCUGGCUCAGAAUGAACCCUUGCGGGAUGGAUUAGGCAUGCAAGUCGAACGAAGAAAGUCCUUCGGGACGAUUAUUAGUGGCGAAAGGGUGAGUAACGCGUGAGCAACUUGCCUCGAGGUCGGGGAUAGCCCUGCGAAAGCGGGAUUAAUACCGGAUGUGGCGGCUCUGCCGCAUGGGAUGGAAGGCUAAAGGAGCAAUUCGCCUUGGGAUGGGCUCGCGUCCUAUUAGCUUGUUGGUGAGGUAACGGCUCACCAAGGCGAUGACAGGUAGGUGGUCUGAGAGGACGAUCACCCACACUGGGACUGAGACACUGCCCAGACUCCUACGGGAGGCUGCAGUCGAGAAUCUUCCGCAAUGCGCGAAAGCGUGACGGAGCAAUGCCGCGUGAGGGACGAAGGCUUUCGGGUCGUAAACCUCUGUCACCCGGGAUGAAGAUCUGACAGUACCGGGAGAGGAAGCCACGGCUAACUACGUGCCAGCAGCCGCGGUAAUACGUAGGUGGCGAGCGUUAUUCGGAUUUAUUGGGCGUAAAGGGUUCGUAGGGGGUGCGGUAAGUCUGGUGUGAAAUCCCAAGGCUCAACCUUGGAACUGCACUGGAUACUGCCGCACUAGAGUACAGGAGGGGAGAGUGGAAUUCCCGGUGUAGCGGUGGAAUGCGUAGAUAUCGGGAGGAACACCAACAGCGAAGGCAGCUCUCUGGACUGUAACUGACCCUGAGGAACGAAAGCCGGGGGAGCAAACAGGAUUAGAUACCCUGGUAGUCCCGGCCGUAAACGUUGUAGACUCGGUGUGGGGGGAUUUGACCCCCUCUGUGCCUAAGCUAACGCGUUAAGUCUACCGCCUGGGGAGUACGGCGGCAACGCUAAAACUCAAAGGAAUUGACGGGGGCCCGCACAAGCGGUGGAGCAUGUGGCUUAAUUCGAGGCAACGCGAAGAACCUUACCUGGGCUUGACAUAUAAUGGACCGUCCUGGAAACAGGAUUUCCCUUCGGGGCCGCUAUACAGAUGCUGCAUGGCUGUCGUCAGCUCGUGUCGUGAGAUGUUCGGUUAAGUCCGGCAACGAGCGCAACCCGUGUCAUCUGUUGCCAUCAGGUAAUGCUGGGCACUCUGGCGAGACUGCCCGUGUUAAGCGGGAGGAAGGCGCGGACGACGUCAAGUCCGUAUGGCUCUUACACCCAGGGCUGCACACGUGCUACAAUGGCUGGCACAAUGAGACGCAACAUCGCGAGGUGAAGCAAAUCUCCAAAACCAGCCCCAGUUCGGAUUGCAGUCUGCAACUCGACUGCAUGAAGUUGGAAUCGCUAGUAAAGGCGUAUCAGCAACGGCGCCUUGAAUACGUUCCCGGGCCUUGUACACACCGCCCGUCACAUCACGGGAGCUGGAUGCACCCGAAGUCGUCGACCCAACCCUCGGGAGGGAGACGCCGAAGGUGUGCCUAGUGACUGGGAUGAAGUCGUAACCAAGGUAACCC